AAGGAUUUAAGUUAACCAAACUAACAACCUUCAAAGUUGUAAAUAGAACUUAUGUCUAAGCCUUA
RNAcentral lists this transfer RNA (65 nucleotides) under Cteniopus sp. AH-2016. RNAcentral describes it as "tRNA-Trp". Lineage: Eukaryota; Metazoa; Arthropoda; Insecta; Coleoptera; Tenebrionidae. The record is from RNAcentral.